This 119-nucleotide ribosomal RNA is filed under the name Pteropus alecto (black flying fox). Lineage: Eukaryota; Metazoa; Chordata; Mammalia; Chiroptera; Pteropodidae. The record is from RNAcentral.
GUCUAUGGCCAUGCCACCCUGAACAAGCCCAAUCCCGUCUGAUCUCGGAAGCUAAGUGGGGUUGGGCCUGGUUAGUACUUGGAUGGGAGACCACCUAGGAAGACCAAGUACUGUAGGUG